UUAGGAAAAAUAACAGCAAAUAAAACGAUAACAAGCUAUAUACUACAAGUUGUAUAUCCAAGUGUUCGUGCAGGAGGAUAUUAUAGGCCGGAAAACUGUAGGUCUAGACAUAAAAUAGCUAUUUUAAUACCGUACAGGAAUCGUGAAAAGAAUUUAAUGGUAUUUAUGUACAACAUUCAUGCUUUUCUUAUAAAACAGAAACUGG
RNAcentral lists this unclassified non-coding RNA (205 nucleotides) under Melitaea cinxia (Glanville fritillary). RNAcentral describes it as "misc RNA ENSMCXG00005015885.1". Lineage: Eukaryota; Metazoa; Arthropoda; Insecta; Lepidoptera; Nymphalidae. The record is from RNAcentral.